This 444-nucleotide ribosomal RNA is filed under the name Praticolella sp. UAG 1145. Its description in RNAcentral is "partial 16S ribosomal RNA". It matches the Rfam family "Bacterial large subunit ribosomal RNA", at positions 1800 to 2618 of the family's 2925-position model. The record is from RNAcentral. Lineage: Eukaryota; Metazoa; Mollusca; Gastropoda; Stylommatophora; Polygyridae.
CUGUUAUCAAAAACAUAACUGUAGGGGUUAUCUACAGCGAUUUCUGCUCAAUGUUAAUAUUAAUAGCCGCAGUACCCUGACUGUGCUAAGGUAGCAUAAUCAAUAGGCUUAUAAUUGAAGUCUUGUAUGAAUGAAUCUCGGGGGGUUUACUGUCUCUAAGGAACUAUUAGAAUUUUUUUAAAAAGUGCAAAAACUUUUACACCAACAAUAGACGAGAAGACCCUAGAAAUUUUUUAAAAAUAUUUUGUUGGGGCGACAAGGUAACAGUUAACUUACCUGAAUAAUAUGAAGUGUUAUUACAGUAGAAAAAAAUUACUCUAGGGAUAACAGCAUAAUUUUUAAAAGUUUGUGACCUCGAUGUUGGACUAGGGUCCUUAAAGUUUAGAAGAUUUUAGAGGAAGCUCUGUUCGAGCAAUUAUACCUACAUGAUCUGGAUUCAGACCG